Drosophila mauritiana is the source of this 1659-nucleotide long non-coding RNA. RefSeq lists it as uncharacterized. The transcript is spliced from 3 exons. The record is from RefSeq and is a predicted model, not a curated record. Lineage: Eukaryota; Metazoa; Arthropoda; Insecta; Diptera; Drosophilidae.
GGGAGCGACCAAUAGGACGCCGGCGUAGUCUUUGAUUAAAACUAGGAACGAACGGUUCGAUUUUCAGCAAAGAUGUUUGAGACUUUAUUUCUCCGAGUGCACACACACCUAAGCAAUUAAGGAGCAAAAGAGCGAGACGCAAAGAGGGAUAUUCGUCGCCUGGCAAAUUGCCCGCUGUGAGCCGGGCGAGUGCGAAAGAGACGGGCAACUCAAUCGAAGACACUGCAACAAUUCGAAUUUAAUUGAUGCCAGUCGGCGGCGGCAGCAACAAAAAUCGAAGAGUGUGCGUGCGCUGGCAUUUAUGAGCCGCGCUUCGCCGGAAAGAAAGGCUCCUUUUGCCGCCUGGCGAUACGGACAAUAACUGAGCCGUUGAUUGGCACUGAGACCAGGUGCAAAAGCUUCAUUUCCCUCCCUCGGAUUUCCACCUGCCAUCACACUUGAAUCCAGUUAUUAGCCUCGUCGCCGGCCGUUGAACUUGUUCGCAGUGGGCAACAAGUGGAGGCGAACUUUUCGCGAAAAGUGUGCGAAAAUCCUUCAAAAGUGCAGCGCUCUGCUGCAAUUGUCCCUGACCACAGGCCGAAUGGGUCAGACGAAGGGGUGGUGUGGGUCAGCGAACAUUGGGACAUGGGAGAGACAAGGACAGCACACGGGCGGCAAAGAUAGCCGGUCGAGUUGAUAAAUUGCGCGCACAACACAGAGACAAAGAAAACCAGCUUACGGACACCCACACAGAAACGGACACCUCGCUUAUUAGGCACAGUCUGAGUCAUAACAAUAUGUUUUACAAAGGCAAAUGAUAUCUAUCGUGAAACGUAUUUAUUUUUAUAUUCCAAUUUCAAUGAGUUGUUUUAAUGAAAAAGAGGCACAUAUCAUAUAUAGGUAAUCAUUUAUAUUAUUUGUAAUUUUCGGAAGCUUCAAGUGCUUUACCGUCCACUGUAGAUCCCGGGUGCCCAUGAUAAGCUUGCCAACUGUCCGCCACUUUCGCCCAACCUGCAACCUUACCCACCCACCCAGCAUCCCGGCAUCCUUGGACUUUUCCCGGCGAUGGUCGAGCAAUUUAAUCAGACAGCAGAGCGCAGAAAAGCUGAUAAUACCGUUAUGAAUAAUUUACCCACAUACGCACACACAUUCGCUGAUGGGAAGUGAAACGCGUUUUAUUAUUGUUUCUGGAGCUGUCUCUUUUGGUUUUAUUUAUAAUUAAUAUAGCUGCGCCAGCGUAUAAUGUAAAAACAUCACAUAAAAGCACUUGUUGUUUGCACUUUUGCUUUCGAGCCUUUAAGAAGCUGCGUGUGAAAUCGUUUUAAUUAGGUGCGGUAACUUGUUGCGGCUGACCAGUGGAAACGGAAACUGCCAUUUGGGAGCGGGGAAUCCCCGAAUGUCACAUUCACCUCAGAUAUUUGCCGCUGUGCCGAUGUGCUUUCUGUCAAAAUCAAUGUGCAUCCCAACCGCAAAUAUCAUGAAUGCAAGAUGUUUGCGGUGGGUACUAAUAUCGAAAUUUAGUCCUCGCAGGCGACCGCAGUAAAUGAAACAACCAGAAAUGAACAUUUAUACCACCCAAGUAUGUCAUUUAAUGGGUACCCUGAUGUAUUUAGUUAGAGAGACGGUUGGGAUAAUUAAAUAAUUGGCCUAAAGAAAAUAUACUUUCAAGUGAAGUCGUUU